Molecule: non-coding RNA, 1283 nt
Organism: Meleagris gallopavo (turkey)
Lineage: Eukaryota; Metazoa; Chordata; Aves; Galliformes; Phasianidae
Source: RefSeq, a predicted model, not a curated record
AUUUAAGGGCUGGCAGCAGAGGUGAGAGUAUCUCUGUGGAGAUCCCUACCUACCUGAGGCAUUUUGAAGAAGAACUGCACGUGCUUUCUCACGUUGGGGUUUUCUUCAGAGUCUAAACAGGCAUUUGAAAGGACGACAAUCACUACUGCCCUCACUGCAGGACGCAGAGCUGAAACCUGAGUUCCUGGAUUCACAGCAAGGGGCCAUAUCCACCCUGCCUUUGCCACUGCUUUCCACCUAGGGCUGCCUAGAUUUCUCCAGUAAUGUAACUUCCUUGUCAAGCUAUAACACCCCAGUUAAUGAGAAGACUCAAAUGUCUGCAAUAGUCAGCAUGCGAAAAACUAAGCAAAAAACAUUCAUUAUCUGGCACUAUACCAUUCAAUCCAAAGGAAGACCACUGUCAAGGAACAGCUGUGAUCUCUCCAUUCAACUAUACCAUCAUUCUUUGAGAUGAAGCUUUACAACCCAUUAUUUCUGUAGUUCAGUUUUAUCUUUUUUUGCAUCUUACGUUGCUUUUUAAAAGAGAGAAUUAGUAUGUCCUUGAAUGUGAAGCUGGUAUCUGAGUUAAUGAAGAGAAGUGCAACGAGAAUACCCAAAGCAGAUAUUCUGAGUAUCAAUAUUAAAACACACAUUGAUGAACAAGAACAAAUGGAAAAAGGCAGGAUAAGUGUUAUGAAAUGUAUGGAAAUGUAUCAGAAAAGUAACCUGCCUUGGAAUAUGCUUUUUUGUUUCAUUAUCUUUAGAUGAUGGAAAGACACAUCAAGGACAGUAGGAUAAUUUUAAGUGCUUGAUUUUUUUUUAUUUUAUUUUUAUUUUUCUGUAGUGCUUUUGAAAAGAACGUUCCCUUCUACAGUAGAUAAGACUGCUCUAUUGUCCCCUUGCCAGCUGCUGUAAAAGCAUUUCUAACAAAUAUGCAAAAUUAGAAAGUGGAAAGGAGUUUCUUGUAGAUAGAUAUACUAGAGCAGGAGAACAGGUCUUCAAGAACCACAGGGAAGAAUAGUUUAAAGAACUGAAAUCAAAAUACACAAUACUUCAGUGAAUGGGCAUUCUGCUUUCAUACCAGCUGUCUGCUAAAGAAGACAACCUUUCUCUUGCUGUGUGGCAACACCAGGCACUACAUCAGUUUGAAGGCCCUGGAGCACACUAUCAGUCUUGCUUGGCUUGUCCUACCACGCCCACUAUAUAAUCUGGAUUUGGUGCUUUCUGGCUUCCAUCUGUUCAGACCAAUGAAAGAUGGACUGCGUGAGUAACAUUUUCCUAGCAAUUAUGCUGUCAUAGCAGCU